AAUCCAUAGGUUAAUGAGGCGAACCGGGGGAACUGAAACAUCUAAGUACCCCGAGGAAAAGAAAUCAACCGAGAUUCCCCCAGUAGCGGCGAGCGAACGGGGAGGAGCCCAGAGCCUGAAUCAGCAUGUGUGUUAGUGGAAGCGUCUGGAAAGGCGCGCGAUACAGGGUGACAGCCCCGUACACAAAAGCGCAUGUGCUGUGAGCUCGAUGAGUAGGGCGGGACACGUGGUAUCCUGUCUGAAUAUGGGGGGACCAUCCUCCAAGGCUAAAUACUCCUGACUGACCGAUAGUGAACCAGUACCGUGAGGGAAAGGCGAAAAGAACCCCGGCGAGGGGAGUGAAAAAGAACCUGAAACCGUGUACGUACAAGCAGUGGGAGCACCCUUUGGGUGUGACUGCGUACCUUUUGUAUAAUGGGUCAGCGACUUAUAUUCUGUAGCAAGGUUAACCGAAUAGGGGAGCCGGAGGGAAACCGAGUCUUAACCGGGCGUUAAGUUGCAGGGUAUAGACCCGAAACCCGGUGAUCUAGCCAUGGGCAGGUUGAAGGUUGGGUAACACUAACUGGAGGACCGAACCGACUAAUGUUGAAAAAUUAGCGGAUGACCUGUGGCUGGGGGUGAAAGGCCAAUCAAACCGGGAGAUAGCUGGUUCUCCCCGAAAGCUAUUUAGGUAGCGCCUCGUGAAUUCAUCUCCGGGGGUAGAGCACUGUUUCGGCUAGGGGGCCAUCCCGGCUUACCAACCCGAUGCAAACUGCGAAUACCGGAGAAUGUUAUCACGGGAGACACACGGCGGGUGCUAACGUCCGUCGUGAAGAGGGAAACAACCCAGACCGCCAGCUAAGGUCCCAAAGUCAUGGUUAAGUGGGAAACGAUGUGGGAAGGCCCAGACAGCCAGGAUGUUGGCUUAGAAGCAGCCAUCAUUUAAAGAAAGCGUAAUAGCUCACUGGUCGAGUCGGCCUGCGCGGAAGAUGUAACGGGGCUAAACCAUGCACCGAAGCUGCGGCAGCGACACUGUGUGUUGUUGGGUAGGGGAGCGUUCUGUAAGCCUG
This 1049-nucleotide ribosomal RNA is filed under the name Salmonella enterica. Its description in RNAcentral is "partial 23S ribosomal RNA". It matches the Rfam family "Bacterial large subunit ribosomal RNA", at positions 161 to 1251 of the family's 2925-position model. Lineage: Bacteria; Pseudomonadati; Pseudomonadota; Gammaproteobacteria; Enterobacterales; Enterobacteriaceae. The record is from RNAcentral. RNAcentral also lists the same sequence under 1 other name.